RNAcentral lists this ribosomal RNA (499 nucleotides) under uncultured microorganism. Its description in RNAcentral is "bacterial SSU rRNA". It matches the Rfam family "Bacterial small subunit ribosomal RNA", at positions 9 to 514 of the family's 1533-position model. The record is from RNAcentral.
GAGUUUGAUCCUGGCUCAGGAUGAACGCUGGCGGCGUGCCUAACACAUGCAAGUCGAACGAAGCAAUCGGGAUGAAGUUUUCGGAUGGAUUCCUGGUUGACUGAGUGGCGGACGGGUGAGUAACGCGUGGAUAACCUGCCUCACACUGGGGGAUAACAGUUAGAAAUGGCUGCUAAUACCGCAUAAGCGCACAGUACCGCAUGGUACGGUGUGAAAAACCCAGGUGGUGUGAGAUGGAUCCGCGUCUGAUUAGCCAGUUGGCGGGUAACGGCCCACCAAAGCGACGAUCAGUAGCCGACCUGAGAGGGUGACCGGCCACAUUGGGACUGAGACACGGCCCAAACUCCUACGGGAGCAGCAGUGGGGAAUAUGCACAAUGGGCGAAAGCCUGAUGCAGCGACGCGCGUGAGUGAAGAAGUAUCUCGGUAUGUAAAGCUCUAUCAGCAGGGAAGAAAUGACGGUACCUGACUAAGAAGCCCGGCUAACUACGUGCCAGCAG